This 415-nucleotide ribosomal RNA is filed under the name Lactobacillus crispatus. RNAcentral's name for it is "bacterial LSU rRNA". It matches the Rfam family "Bacterial large subunit ribosomal RNA", at positions 789 to 1203 of the family's 2925-position model. The record is from RNAcentral. Lineage: Bacteria; Bacillati; Bacillota; Bacilli; Lactobacillales; Lactobacillaceae.
CUAAACAGUUCCCGGAUGCCUUGUGGGUAGGGGUGAAAUUCCAAUCGAACUUGGAGUUAGCGGGUUCUCUCCGUAAUAGCUUUAUGGCUAGCGUGUAGUGUUAAAUGAUGGGGGUAGAGCACUGAAUAUGGAAUGGCGGCGCCUAGCCGUGCUGACUAUAAUCAAACUCCGAAUACUAUCAUGUAUUACUAUGCAGUCGGUACAUCGGUGAUAACGUCGAUGCACGCGAGGGGAACAACCCAGAUCGUCAGCUAAGGUGCCAAAAUUGUGGUAAGUGAGAAAGGUUGUGAAGUUUCUUAAACAGCUAGGAUGUUGGCUUAGAAGCAGCCACCGUUUAAAGAGUGCGUAAUAGCUCACUAGUCGAGAGACUUUGUGCCGAUAAUUCAACGGGACUAAAACACAAUACCGAAGCUAC